This 253-nucleotide ribosomal RNA is filed under the name uncultured bacterium. RNAcentral describes it as "partial 16S ribosomal RNA". It matches the Rfam family "Bacterial small subunit ribosomal RNA", at positions 524 to 776 of the family's 1533-position model. The record is from RNAcentral.
UACGUAGGGCGCAAGCGUUAUCCGGAAUUAUUGGGCGUAAAGAGCUCGUAGGCGGUUUGUCGCGUCUGCUGUGAAAGACCGGGGCUCAACUCCGGUUCUGCAGUGGGUACGGGCAGACUAGAGUGCAGUAGGGGAGACUGGAAUUCCUGGUGUAGCGGUGAAAUGCGCAGAUAUCAGGAGGAACACCGAUGGCGAAGGUAGGUCUCUGGGCUGUAACUGACGCUGAGGAGCGAAAGCAUGGGGAGCGAACAGG